GGGGCUAUAGCUCAGCUGGGAGAGCGCCUGCCUUGCGCGCAGGAGGUCAGCGGUUCGAUCCCGCUUAGCUCCA
This 73-nucleotide transfer RNA is filed under the name Proteus vulgaris. Its description in RNAcentral is "tRNA-Ala". It matches the Rfam family "tRNA". From Rfam's summary of the family: Transfer RNA (tRNA) molecules are approximately 80 nucleotides in length. Their secondary structure includes four short double-helical elements and three loops (D, anti-codon, and T loops). The record is from RNAcentral. Lineage: Bacteria; Pseudomonadati; Pseudomonadota; Gammaproteobacteria; Enterobacterales; Morganellaceae.